GGGCCUGCACAAGCGGUGGAGUAUGUGGCUUAAUUCGAUGCAACGCGAAGAACCUUACCUGGCCUUGACAUGCAUCUCUAAGCGUGUGAAAGCACGUGACCCCUCGGGGAAUUUGCACAGGUGCUGCAUGGCUGUCGUCAGCUCGUGUCGUGAGAUGUUGGGUUAAGUCCCGCAACGAGCGCAACCCUUGUGUCCUGUUGCCACUUCCGCUAGCGCGGAAAGCACUCUGGACAGACUGCCUCGUCUCAACGAGGAGGAAGGUGGGGAUGACGUCAAGUCAGUAUGGCCCUUACGGCCAGGGCUGCACACGUACUACAAUGCCUGGUACAAUGGGAAGCAAUACCGUGAGGUGGAGCAAAUCCUCAAAACCAGGCCCAGUUCAGAUUGUAGUCUGCAACUCGACUACAUGAAGUCGGAAUC
RNAcentral lists this ribosomal RNA (420 nucleotides) under uncultured bacterium. RNAcentral describes it as "bacterial SSU rRNA". It matches the Rfam family "Bacterial small subunit ribosomal RNA", at positions 917 to 1333 of the family's 1533-position model. The record is from RNAcentral.